UACGUAGGGGGCAAGCGUUGUCCGGAUUUAUUGGGCGUAAAGAGCGUGUAGGCGGCCAGGUAGGUCGGUUGUGAAAACUGGAGGCUCAACCUUCAGACGUCGACCGAAACCAUCUGGCUAGAGUCCGGAAGAGGAGAGUGGAAUUCCUGGUGUAGCGGUGGAAUGCGCAGAUAUCAGGAAGAACACCCGUGGCGAAGGCGGCUCUCUGGGACGGUACUGACGCUGAGGUGCGAAAGCGUGGGGAGCAAACAGG
Molecule: ribosomal RNA, 253 nt
Filed under: uncultured bacterium
Lineage: Bacteria
Description: partial 16S ribosomal RNA
Rfam family: Bacterial small subunit ribosomal RNA
Source: RNAcentral